This 399-nucleotide long non-coding RNA is filed under the name Homo sapiens (human). RNAcentral's name for it is "HSALNT0116689". The record is from RNAcentral. Lineage: Eukaryota; Metazoa; Chordata; Mammalia; Primates; Hominidae.
UCGGACAUUUUCUCCUAUUAACAAGGAGAUUUACUUACUUUUCAUUUAUAAAUUCCUAGCUUGAGAAUAUUAAGCUAGAAAUAUGUAUUAUAGGAUAUAAUAUUGAAUGAAUAUUUUAGACUUCUAGAUGGGUGAUGAGAUUCAGAAUUGUAAAUCAUGAUGGUUUUUAAUAUACCUGGGCUGUUUUGAUACAAUUUCUAAGAAAAUGUAUGUACUUUGGUUACAUUUGUGUGUGUAUGCAUGUGUGCGUCUGUUUGUGUGUUUAUGAGUUGUUAAAGGUAAGACUUGAUUUCAGAGAUUAAGCAUAAUGGGAAAAAAAAUGAGCUCUACACUUUGAAUUUAAGAUCCAGGAUAUGUAGGAAUGGAUAGAAAGAUGAUUGUCAGGAAAUUUGUUUUCUC